RNAcentral lists this RNase P RNA (360 nucleotides) under Sphingomonas panacisoli. Its description in RNAcentral is "Bacterial RNase P class A". It matches the Rfam family "Bacterial RNase P class A". From Rfam's summary of the family: Ribonuclease P (RNase P) is a ubiquitous endoribonuclease, found in archaea, bacteria and eukarya as well as chloroplasts and mitochondria. Its best characterised activity is the generation of mature 5'-ends of tRNAs by cleaving the 5'-leader elements of precursor-tRNAs. Cellular RNase Ps are ribonucleoproteins. The record is from Rfam by way of RNAcentral. Lineage: Bacteria; Pseudomonadati; Pseudomonadota; Alphaproteobacteria; Sphingomonadales; Sphingomonadaceae.
CCAGAGGAUCGGGCGGCCGCGGGUGCGCAAGCACGCGAGGAAAGUCCGGGCUCCGCGAAACGACGGUGGCGGGUAACGCCCGCCGGGGGUGACCCCAGGGAAAGUGCCACAGAGAGCAGGUCGCCGGGUUCGCCCGGUAAGAGUGAAAGGGUGCGGUAAGAGCGCACCGCGCGGCUGGUAACAGCGGCGGCAAGGCAAACCCCACCGGGAGCAAAACCGAAUAGGGGCGGCAUAGGGGCUUCGUUUCAGCUCGUCGCCCGGGUUGGUUGCUUGAGGCGGCGCGCGAGCGUCGUCCUAGAGGAAUGGUCGCCCAUCGCCGAAAGGCGUGGACAGAACCCGGCUUAUAGAUGCUCUGGCGCU